Molecule: long non-coding RNA, 873 nt
Filed under: Equus caballus (horse)
Lineage: Eukaryota; Metazoa; Chordata; Mammalia; Perissodactyla; Equidae
Description: lncRNA (ENSECAG00000049644.1)
Source: RNAcentral
CUUCUUUAUCAAAUGAGCUUUCUUCAGAUCUCAAUUGCAGCCAUUUUUUUGUGUUUGUCACUCGCAGACAGUUAAUGUUUUACUCUGAUACUUUUGCACUAGUGCUUCAUCUUCAGAGAGAUUCACGGAAAGGACUCUGACAAGUACUCUAGAAUACAGGUUUCUGACAACUUUAAUAUCAUAACAAUGAAAUGGGAAACCUUUUUCUUGAUUCUCUUAAGCUAUCUGACUCACAACAAUUUGCCAUCUUCAGUACAUCAUAUGGUCACACUCUGCUUGGAGAAACAGAAACAAGAUGAACAAGGAGAUGAACAGCAAAAACAGUUCUUCCAUGAACCUGACAUCAUAACCUACAAGUUUCACAAUGAAACAAGAACAGCUUAAAACUGAUGGUGACUGAGUGGUGCUAAUGCCAAAUUUUUGGUCAAUAUCUCAUAUUCAAGAGGAUAAUCAGAGGAGAGAAUUGUUAAAUUAACUAAACAAGGAAACCAUUAAACUGAGUGACUGCAAUGCCUUAGUGGUCCAUGUAAGCAAACCAAAAUCUAAGCCUGUAAAUGCAUCAGUGUUACAAAAUCAAAACCUAAGGACAACUAAUCACAAAAAACCAACUAAGCUUUACACUACAGCCAAUAAAAUAAUUUCUUUGUUUGCACUCCUUCUCUAUAUAAGUUAUUCCCCUAGCUUAUGUUGGUAGAAUGCUUCUAACCACUUUUGAUUUUCUGCUGCCCAAAUCGAAUUAAUUUUUGCUCAGAUAAACAUACCUCAGUUUAUCUGUAAUAGCCAAAAACUGGAAUCAGCCCAGAUGUCUCUCAUAGCAGAGUGAUUAAACAACUCUGGUACCUCCCUUCCAGAGAAUACUACUCAGUAAUAAAA